Mus musculus (house mouse) is the source of this 3201-nucleotide RNA transcript. It is a transcript of the gene named NMDA receptor synaptonuclear signaling and neuronal migration factor, with no coding region annotated. Lineage: Eukaryota; Metazoa; Chordata; Mammalia; Rodentia; Muridae. The record is from RefSeq and is marked validated. The transcript is spliced from 16 exons.
GGGUCCAGCCGCGCUCUCCUACAGUGGCUGGACGCGCUGGGCGCUGGGUGCGGCCAUGCGGGGCCUGGGCCUAAGUCUGACCCUGACCCUGAGGCUGAGACCUAGCGCGACCUCAGGCGCCGUACGGCUCCCCCGGCAGAGGCGGCGGGCGCGAGGCGCGCUCUGAAAUCCGGGGGAUGCGCGGGCGCCGUGACCAUGGGUGCCGCCGCCUCCAGGAGGAGGGCGCUGAGGAGCGAGGCCAUGUCCUCGGUAGCGGCCAAAGUAAGAGCAGCCCGAGCGUUUGGAGAGUACCUGUCCCAGAGUCACCCUGAGAACCGCAACGGUGCAGACCACCUGCUGGCUGACGCCUACUCUGGCCACGACGGGUCCCCAGAGAUGCAACCUGCACCCCAGAACAAGCGCCGCCUCUCCCUCGUCUCCAAUGGCCGAUAUGAGGGCAGCAUCUCAGAUGAGGCAGUCAGCGGGAAGCCGGCUAUAGAGGGCCCCCAGCCCCACGUGUACACCAUCUCUAGAGAGCCCGCCCUGCUACCUGGCUCUGAAGCUGAAGCCAUUGAGCUAGCAGUGGUAAAAGGGAGGAGACAGCGGGAACGGCACCCUCACCACCACAGCCAGCCCCUGCGUGCCAGCCCAGGCAGCAGCCGGGAGGACAUCAGCAGGCCCUGCCAAAGCUGGGCAGGAAGCCGCCAGGGCUCCAAAGAGUGCCCAGGAUGUGCCCAGCUGGUCCCUGGUCCCUCUUCUCGGGCCUUUGGGCUGGAGCAGCCACCUCUACCUGAGGCUCCUGGCCGCCACAAGAAGCUGGAAAGGAUGUAUAGCGUUGAUGGAGUGUCUGAUGAUGUCCCCAUCCGUACCUGGUUCCCCAAGGAAAACCUUUUCAGCUUCCAGACGGCAACCACAACUAUGCAAGCGACAUGCCUUUGAAGCAGAGUCCCUCACCAGAAUAGUCCUCCCCCGGCCGCAACUGCGAUGGCAAAAGUGCACAGGGCACAGGCAAGCUUCUGUAGGACCAAACCCCAACCUUGCCUGGCUAAAACUCAGCACCUAGUAGUAUGGGCCAGUGCCUCAGCCUCGGUGCCCUUGAGUCCAGUGGACAUCCCGAUGGGAGGAAACUACCUCCAGGGGAUCUGGGGGGCUAAAGGAAGACAGAGAUCCACACUCACGGUGUCCUCUUUCUCUUGCUGCCUCUUGACACUGUGGCUUCAGCAUCUCGGUAUUCAGGGGCUACGCGGAGAGGAAGCGUCGGAAACGGGAGAAUGAUUCCGCGUCUGUAAUCCAGAGGAACUUCCGCAAACACCUGCGCAUGGUUGGCAGUCGGCGGGUGAAGGCCCAGACGUUCGCUGAGCGUCGCGAACGGAGCUUCAGCCGGUCCUGGAGCGACCCCACCCCUAUGAAAGCCGACACUUCCCACGACUCCCGAGACAGCAGUGACCUACAGAGCUCACACUGCACCCUGGAUGAGGCUUGUGAGGACCUGGACUGGGACACAGAGAAAGGUCUGGAGGCCAUGGCCUGCAACACCGAGGGCUUCUUGCCACCCAAGGUCAUGCUCAUCUCCUCCAAGGUGCCAAAGGCCGAGUAUAUCCCUACUAUCAUCCGCAGAGAUGACCCGUCCAUCAUUCCCAUCCUCUACGACCACGAGCAUGCAACCUUCGAGGACAUCCUGGAGGAAAUAGAGAAGAAAUUGAACAUCUAUCACAAGGGGGCCAAGAUCUGGAAGAUGCUGAUUUUCUGCCAGGGCGGCCCUGGACACCUUUAUUUGCUCAAGAACAAGGUGGCCACCUUUGCCAAAGUGGAGAAGGAAGAGGACAUGAUCCACUUCUGGAAGAGGCUGAGCCGCCUGAUGAGCAAGGUGAACCCCGAGCCGAAUGUCAUCCACAUCAUGGGCUGCUACAUUCUGGGGAACCCUAACGGGGAGAAGCUAUUCCAGAACCUCAGGACCCUCAUGACCCCUUACAAGGUUACCUUUGAGUCGCCUCUCGAGCUGUCUGCCCAAGGGAAGCAGAUGAUUGAGACCUACUUUGACUUCCGGCUGUACCGCCUGUGGAAGAGCCGCCAGCACUCAAAGCUGCUGGACUUUGAUGACGUCCUGUGAGAAGCAUGGGUCAUGCCCAGGAACCACCAGGCCAUUUCCUCUGGGCUGGGGACCUAGAGCUGGGCUGCCUCUUGCACCCGGGACAGUGUGGCCCUGCUCUUGCCCACAGCCACUUCAGGGACCCUCAGACGUUGCUCAGGUUCUCGUAGGGUCUGGUCCUCACUGCACCAGUGGGCCACAGAGGCCACACUCCUGGUGGUCCAGAUUAACAAUCUCAGCCCAUGACCAGUGGCCUCUCAAUGGCCAGGGCAUUGACCUGUCAUGCCUCGCCUGGAGGCAGCAGCAUUGGGGAUCCCCUCCAUGGGGUUCAUAGAAAUAAGUGCAAUUUUUUUACACCCCUGAAACAAUUUGAAGGGAAGCAGCAUUACUAAUUAACUAGUUAAGCACUCUGCUACUAGUUACAGUGUAGACAACCAGCCCAGUGUGUGUUCAGGUCCUCCUGUCCCCCAGCCUCUCAGCCCUGCUGUAUUUGAUCACCAGCACCAGGAUGGCCCAUAAGUGUGGGGCUAGCUCUGUCAGGCUGCCUAGCCUGGCCCAGUCUACACUGGCCAAAUCUGGCCUGCUUUCACCCUUUUGUCACCCCUGGCUUACUUUGACCUCAUCCUGGCAAGGGGUAGGCUGGGCAGUUAGGAGGGAAGAGCCUCACUCACCCUCCCUCUUGUCAGGGGAGCACUGGGUUGCCAUCUGUUGCCCACCUCCUCAAGCCAACCCAUUUCCCUUUGCUGCUGCUGAACUCGGCUUUUUCUAGCCUUGGUCUGGAAGCCACAUCCCAGCACAGUGGCUUAGGGGUGUGGUGGGGACAGCCGGGGCUGGGCCUGGGAAGGCAAGAACCUCACCAGCAUUGUGGUGGGGGGCCUAGAUCUGUCACCCCAGGCUGGAGAGUCAAGUAGCUGGUGAACUGUGAGGUCCCCAUGACUCCCUUCAGUCUUGUCCAGGGUCUAGCAGGGUGGGCUCUCUUGUACAUAGUUGGAGCUUGGGGGCAGGCCCCCCUUUUGUAGAGCCUGGGGUCUGGGGACACCUGGCCGUGUCCCUGACCCAGGGGAGUUAGGAUUGGGCACUGAACAAUGUACGAUAUCCCUUAGAGUGACCAUUAAACUUGACCCUCUGCUGCA